This 237-nucleotide ribosomal RNA is filed under the name uncultured Staphylococcus sp. Its description in RNAcentral is "partial 16S ribosomal RNA". It matches the Rfam family "Bacterial small subunit ribosomal RNA", at positions 103 to 334 of the family's 1533-position model. The record is from RNAcentral. Lineage: Bacteria; Bacillati; Bacillota; Bacilli; Caryophanales; Staphylococcaceae.
CGGGUGAGUAACACGUGGAUAACCCACCUAUAAGACUGGGAUAACUUCGGGAAACCGGAGCUAAUACCGGAUAAUAUUUUGAACCGCAUGGUUCAAAAGUGAAAGACGGUCUUGCUGUCACUUAUAGAUGGAUCCGCGCUGCAUUAGCUAGUUGGUAAGGUAACGGCUUACCAAGGCAACGAUGCAUAGCCGACCUGAGAGGGUGAUCGGCCACACUGGGACUGAGACACGGUCCAG